ACUGUAUAAGAGGAUAUCGAGGAGGGUGAAGUCAUUGGGAUUAUCACUCUGGAAGAUGUAUUUGAAGAACUCCUGCAGGAGGAGAUUGUGGAUGAAACAGAUGAAUAUGUUGAUGUACAUAAAAGAAUACGUGUCGCUGCAGCUGCAGCUGCUUCAUCAGUGGCACGGGCUCCAUCAACUCGGAGGUUAAAUGUGAACAAGGGACCUGCCACUGGACAAAAUGCAGGCCAAAAAGUAAGCAAGGACUAACCCUCAAGAAAUCUGCUGAUGAUUGGCCCUCGGCAACAUUGCAACGGACUUCUGGCGAACCCCGUCUUUGAAAUAUGAGAAGAUUCAUCUUGCUCAUUCGUCAUUUCCUGAUCCGGUUGCUCCUCAGGGAACUGGCUUUGACUUGCAUCUAUGAAAGUUGUUUGUUUUUGUUUUCAAUUUUUGUUCUCCGGGUGGCAGGUAGGUUUCGAGAGGUGGAGUUCUACAUUAGAUUGCAUAGGAGGAUAUCAUUGGAAGUUUGGUACCUUACUAAUUAUUUCCACUCGUUUUUGGUUCAUAUUAAAUCGAUAGGUCGAGCUGCCUCUUUGGCUGGCUCUACUUUUUGUUUUGUAAACGACGGUAUAUGGAGAAAGUAGUUC
This is a long non-coding RNA of Malus domestica (apple), 626 nucleotides long. RefSeq lists it as uncharacterized. The record is from RefSeq and is a predicted model, not a curated record. Lineage: Eukaryota; Viridiplantae; Streptophyta; Magnoliopsida; Rosales; Rosaceae.